Molecule: ribosomal RNA, 230 nt
Filed under: uncultured Eubacteriales bacterium
Lineage: Bacteria; Bacillati; Bacillota; Clostridia; Eubacteriales
Description: uncultured Clostridiales bacterium partial 16S ribosomal RNA
Rfam family: Bacterial small subunit ribosomal RNA
Source: RNAcentral
GGGUGAGUAACGCGUGAGCAACCUGCCUAUGACAGUGGGAUAGCCUCGGGAAACCGGGAUUAAUACCGCAUAAAAUCGUAGAAACACAUGUUUCAACGGUCAAAGAUUUAUCGGUCAUAGAUGGGCUCGCGUCUGAUUAGCUAGUUGGUGAGAUAACAGCCCACCAAGGCGACGAUCAGUAGCCGGUCUGAGAGGAUGAACGGCCACAUUGGAACUGAGACACGGUCCAA